This is an RNA transcript of Rattus norvegicus (Norway rat), 7512 nucleotides long. It is a transcript of the gene named sirtuin 4, with no coding region annotated. NCBI's taxonomy places the organism in Eukaryota, Metazoa, Chordata, Mammalia, Rodentia, Muridae. The record is from RefSeq and is marked validated.
UUUCAUCUCUUUAAGAAAAGCUAAAAUUUAAAAAAAGCUAGAUGUAUUCCGGAGCUUAAAAGUAUUGAAUAAGGACCAGAAGUAUAAACUAGAGAACAUCUACUUUUAGACAAACAAUAUUCAGUCUCCGUAGAGACUGUCAAAAAUUGCCAAUGCCGACUAUAUUUCAAGUCGUCAUGGCGGGGUAUUGGGAAAAGUUUUCAAUUAGCAAUAAUCGCGCCUCGGAUAAACCUCAUUGGCUACGAUACUGCCACUGCGCAAAGCUGAAGAACGAGCGCGCUCGCUCAGCCUCCCAGGGCUGACAACCUUCAUCACAGUCACGGUGAGCUCCUGUCCACGCGCGACCGUCGCGGGACGGCAACCGAACCCGGCGGCUCCAUCUCAGUCACCUGCGUGGACAGGCUCCUGCCCGUGGGCUAUCUAGCGCCCGAACGUCCGUGGUUUCCAGACAACGCGGCAGCCGCUUGGGAUGCUGGGGACUCUUAUGCAAAUCGAGCCAACGUCAUCGCGAUGGCCCGGGUGGAGGCGCAAACGCGGCGGGAGGAGGGUAAGCCAGAAAGGGAUGAAAUGAGAUGUGUGGUCCGCUGCGGAGGUCCGGGGGGUUGGCAUUAGAGGAGCGUGUCAGUGUGACCCUGACGCUGCGUUGGCGGAGGCAGGAUUGUUGCGAGUGUUGGGCCAGCCAAGGAUAACAAACCUGAGUGACCGGAGACGGAAACAGGGCUAACAGACUUGUGAAUACAGCCAACAAACUCGAAUGGGAAAGUAACAAAACAGUGAAAAGUGUCAUUGUAAGUAAGGAUCGCGAGCGAGAAACGUUAGUAUCAGCUAAAAGUUGUUAAAGGGGAAGAGAGAGUUUUCGAGCUAAAUCGAGAUACAGAUAGAGAGAGUAGAAAUCUUGAGUUCUAAGUAAUUAUUUUUUUUGGACCACAAUUAUUCAGUCUCCGUAGAGACUGUCAAAAAUUGCCAAUGCCGACUAUAUUGCAAGUCGUCACGGCGGGGUAUUGGGAAAAGUUUUCAAUUAGCAAUAAUCGCGCCUCGGAUAAACCUCAUUGGCUACGAUACUGCCACUGCGCAAAGCUAGUGAGCUAGGGGCCCAGCACAGCGUUCCUAGGAGACGCGGACCCUAUUACAAAAAGGGGGUUUUGAGCCGAACGGGAAAGCCCUCAAUUAUCGCUACGCUGGACAUGAGAGCACUAAAUACAACCUUAUGGCACUUUAUGUAUGAUAUAAAAGAGGAGCAUGCUGCUUUUAUGUAAGGUUUACGUGGAGGAAAUGAAGCAAAGCACUAUGGGAUCGAACAUGCUAAUUGACUCAGCUCGGAGCCUGAAAGGGAUCUUCUGCCCGAGUCAAGGGGUUAGGUUGGCUCAAUGUUACCGCUUUCUCAGGGGAGGCUUUCUUGUUUCUGACUUUAUACACAAGAAAAUAUCCGUAUGAAGACGAGAUGGCAUAAAAUGUACCGUGUUUUACUAUCUUAAGGCUUUAAUUUCGGGGGUUGGGGAUUUAGCUCAGUGGUAGAGCGCUUGCCUAGGAAGCGCAAGGCCCUGGGUUCGGUCCCCAGCUCCGAAAAAAAGAACCAAAAAAAAAAAAAAGAAAAAAAAAAAGGCUUUAAUUUCGGAAUUUCGGUGUCUACAUUCACAUUCAUCUCAAGAACCUUCUGAUCUUCCCAAACUAAAACUCGGUACGCAUUAAACUCUGAGCUCCCUAGCAAGCUUUCUUGGCCCAGUCCGUGGGAAAACGUGCGUCAUGAGAAUGUCUGGUGCCCGUGGAAGUCAGAAGAGGGCAUCAGAUCCUCUGGAACUGGAAUUAAACGUUGGUGAGUCACCAUGUGGGUGCUGGGAACCCAAUCCAGGUGUUCUGCAAGAGCAGUCAUUAACCACUGAGCCAUCUCCCUCCAGUCCCUUACUGUGACAUUGUAUGACUCAUCCAUAUUGUAGUACAUAUUGGUAUUUCAUGCCCUUUAUGGCUCAGUAAUAUUCCGUCUAGUGGGAUUUUAUUUACCGUUCAUCCUUCAAUCAGCAACAGUGGCACCUUAGGCGAACCUCAUUGGCUGUGCACCCUUGUACGGUUUGAACCUUUGCUCUAAUACAAACAACGCUGAUAGCGAUGCCCAAGUAUCAGUUUGAGUUCCUGCUUUCAAUGAAAAUUUUUUGUUAAAUUUACGUGUGUGUGGAAGUGUGCCUAGGUCAGAGAACAACCCGUGGGAGGUGGUUUUCGCCCUCCUCCAUGUAGGUCCCAGGGAUUGAAUUCAGGGGAGGCAUGGAAUUACCCUUACCCACAAUCCAUCUCACCAGCCCUGCCCGUCUUCAAUUGUUUGGGGUAUCUACUAGUAGUGGAGUUGCUGGCUCAUAUAGGAAUUCUGUUUAAUUCUUUUAAAAAAAAGAUUUAUUUAUUACAUAUAAGUACACUAUCGCUAUCUUCAGACACACCAGAAGAGGGCAUCGGAUCCCAUUACGGAUGGUUGUGAGCCACCGUGUGGUUGCUGGGAAUCUCAGGACCUCUGGAAGAGCAGUCAGGGCUCUUAACCGCCAAGCCAUCUCUCCAGCCCCUCUAUGUUUAAUUCUAAGUGAAGAUUUUUUUGUUUCAUUGUUUGUUUGUUUGUUGUUUUGAGACAAGGUCUCGCUGUGUAGCCCUGGCUGGCCUGGAAUUUGCUAUGUAGACCAGACUGUCCUCAGACUCAUAGAGAUCCUCCUGCCUCUGCCUUCCUAGUGCUGAAGUCCUCCAAACCAACCCCAACCCCUUUUGUGGUAUAUGAAAGAAAAUCCAACAUUUGUACAUGGAGGGCUUCCUAACCCUUCUGUGAAAAGAUUUUAACUUUGAGGAGAGAGGCUUUGUAACAGCAAUGCCAGAGCACAUGAAAUGUGAAGUAAAUUUCUCUGCCUUGUUUUAACUUUGGCAAGUAGAAAGCUGUCCAAACCCUGGCUCUGAACCUCUUUCCCGAGGAAUAUUUUUUAUUUUUAUUUUUUAAAAAAGCAUCAUGUUUCUUCUUUCUUUUUUUUUAAAUAUUUAUUUAUUUAUUUUAUGUAUAAGUACACCAUAACUGUCUUCAGACACACCAGAAGAGGGCAUCAGAUCUCAUUACAGAUGGUUGUGAGCCACCAUGUGGUUGCUGGGAUUUGAACUCAGGACCUCUGGAAGAGCAGUCGGUGCUCUUAACCGCUGAGCCAUCUCUCCAGCCCCCCCCCUUUUUUUUAAAGAUUUAUUUAUUUAUUAUAUAUAAGUACACUGUAGCUGUCUUCAGAUACACCAGGAGAGGGCAUCGGAUCUCUUUACAGAUGGUUGUGAGCCACCAUGUGGUUGCUGGGAAUUGAACUCAUGACCUCUGGAAGAGCAGUCGGGUGCUCUUAACCACUGAGCCAACUCUCCAGCCCCCCCCCCUUUUUUUUAAAGAUUUGUUUAUUUAAUGUGAGUACACUGUAGCUGUCUUCAGACAGGCCAGAAGAGAGCAUCAGAACUCAUCGUAGAUGGUUGUGAGCCACCAUGUGGGUGCUGGGACUUGAACUCGGGACUAUUUGGAAGUGCAGUCAGUGCUCUUUUUUUUUUUUAAGAAUAUUUAUUUAUUUAUUUAUUUAUUUAUUUAUUAUGUAUACAUCAUACAGCUUUCUGCCUGCAUGUGUGCCUGCAGGCCAGAAAAGGGCACCAGACCUGAUUAUAGAUGGUUGUGAGUCACCAUGUGGUUGCUGGGAUUUGAACUCAGGACCUCUGGAAGAGCAGACAGUGCUCUUAACCUCUGAGCCAUCUCUCCAGCCCCAGUCAGUGCUCUUAAUUGCAGAGGCAUCUCUCCAGCCCCUCAUUAUGAGAAUUUUAAAGCCCAGGGCCAGUUUCUUUUUGUUUUCUAAAUGAAACGAACACCAGUGGCAGAGCCUGGCUGGGACUCAGGACAUGCAAGCUUCCAGGUCCCAAAGCCCCCUGUUCUGGAGAUCAUAGUUUACUGCACAGGGAGGGGAUGCCCCCUUUGGAGAGUGAAGGCAGCAGGGAAGACCAGCACUGCCUUCCUCCCAUAGCUCCGGACAGAGUAUUAUGAGCCACCCAAUUGGCUAUUGAAUAAGGGGAAAGGGUCCUUCGGCCGGUAACAAGGUCCCUGCCACUUCCCAUUCUAAAAGGUACAUACUCCGUGGUGUGGUGUCUGACUUUAAAGUAAUGUUACAGAGUGGCAGAUUUUGCUGGCUCCACUUCAGGAGUGGCCAAGAUAUGAGUAAACAGAUCCCUAGGCCUCCCUCUCUCUAAACCAAUGACCUUAGAACCCUGAGCCAGGCACGGCAGCCCGGAUAGAUGCAAGCCGGAAGCCAGCCUGGGCUAUGGUAUAGCACUGUCAGAACAAACAACCAUAACAACAAAAAACAAAUAAUGAUGAUGAUGAUGAUGAUGAUGAUGAUGAUGAUGAUGAUGAUGAUGAUGAUGAUGAUAACCAAAGCAAGACAACAAUCUGCCCAGAGAUUGGAGGCCCAGGGGAGUGUUGGGGAUCCCCACAUACCCCCUACUGUAUUCCUUCUGAGACAGGAUCUGACAGAAUCUCGAUAAACAUGGAGCUCCAGUCCUUUCACCAGGCUGAGAGUAAGCCAGCCCCAGCCAUCUGAUUGCUCCCUGUCCUCCUUUGUGCUGGGAGGGCAAUUUAUGUGAGAGGUGGAAUCCAGACCUAUGUCCUCUUGCUUGGGCUGCAGUUCUGAACCUCGGGGCCAUCUCUCUAGCACCCAUGAUCUAUUGUUUUUUAGAAUCAAAAUAGUGUGUGUGCAUGUGGGCCAAAUACGAGCUGGUGCUCUCCUCCCACACUUGUGUGAGUCCCAGGGAUCAGAGUUGUGCUGUCAAGCUGGUGGCAAGGGCCCCUGUCAAUAUUUAACCUAUGGUAGGAAAUUUAAGCACUGUGCAGUGGAAGGGAACAUAGGUACUUAAGAGGAAAUCAAGUCCAAUCUGCCGACGUGGUGGCACACACUGUUAGCCCAUGUUCUAGGGAGGCGGAGGUGGGAGAAUCUCCAUGAGUUCCAGGCCAGCCAAGGCUACGUAGUGAGAACCUGUCUCAAAAAAUUAAAACAAAAACAGAAGUGGGGGGAGGGGGAGGACCAAUUAUUUAUUAUUAAAGGGGUCAGACUACACAGCGAAACCCUGUCUCAAAAAAACAAAAACAGAAAGGGUCUUUUGGGGAGCGGGUCGGGAGCUGGCUCACUGGUUAAGUGCAUUGUUUGCAGAGGACUCAGAUUCCGUCCCACAUGGCAGUUCACAACCGGCUGCCACUCAAGUUCCAGGGGAGCUGACGCCCUCUUCUGGCCUUCUGGAGCUCCUGUAUGCUUGUUGGCAAAAACAUUAAAAAAAAUUUUUUUUUUAAAUCUAUUUUAAAAAGCGUCUAUGGUGGAGAAAUGCCCACUAGUAUGAACUCAGGCCUACCCUGGGCUAGGCUAACGUGCUACCACUGAGCUAUAUAGCCCCAGCCCUAUUACAGUAUUAUUUAGAGACCGAGGUCUCACUAAAUCACCCAGUCUGGUCUUGAACUCGUGAUUCUUCCGCUUCAGCCUACUGAGUAGCAGAGAUUGUUGUCCCCUGCUACCAGUGAAAGUUUCUUGAAGACAGCGAAUUCCUAAAUUAGGGCUGUUUGGAUCCUAUUUUGCACGCCGGGCAUGGGGAAUAUUAACCACUUCUUUGCGGGCCAUGGUGGCAGAGAAGCCUCUAAUCCCAGGGUAUGUGAGGUGGAGCCAGGAGGAUCAGGAAUUUGGAGUCGGACUAGGCUACGUGAGACCUUCUCUCCAGCAAGCAACACAACCCAGAAAAAACGAACGAACGAACGAACGAACGAACGAACGAACGAACGAACGAACGAACGAACGAACGAACGAACGAACGAACGAACGAACGAACGAACGAACGAACGAACGAACGAACGAACGAACGAACGAACACACAAAAACCUCAAAAGGCAAUAACUGCCUCAGGUGUCAGCAGCACACCGGAAACCUAAACUGAGCUGAACAGGAAAGACAAUCGGAAGACCGUGGUGGAGCGGCGUAGAACCUUGGCGUGGGAGACACGUAGGGUUCUGGGACUUGUAGUUUUUUCCGUUAUAUCGGGUUCGUGGACUACACUUCCCAAGAUGCACAUGUAAGAAGCUAGUCCCACUGUUGGGUGAGAAGAAUGAGGGGGUUGAUUUUCAGGCCGACAAGGGGCCGUUGGAUCACCCAGAUGAGCCAGCUGCGUUCCCAUGGAUCCACAGGGUUAUUUGUGCCGCCCAGCCCCCCUUUGGACCAUGAAAAGAUCAAAGAGUUACAGCGCUUCAUUAGCCUUUCCAAGAAACUGCUAGUGAUGACAGGCGCGGGAAUCUCCACCGAGUCCGGGAUCCCAGACUACAGGUCAGAAAAGGUGGGACUCUACGCCCGCACUGACCGGAGACCCAUCCAGCACAUUGAUUUCAUCCGCAGUGCUCCGGUUCGCCAGCGCUACUGGGCCCGAAACUUUGUGGGCUGGCCUCAGUUCUCCUCUCACCAGCCCAACCCAGCACACUGGGCUCUGAGCAACUGGGAGAAACUUGGGAAGCUGCACUGGUUGGUGACCCAGAACGUGGACGCUCUGCAUUCCAAGGCUGGGAAUCAGCGGUUGACGGAGCUGCACGGAUGCAUGCACAGGGUCCUGUGCCUGAGCUGUGGGGAGCAGACUGCACGCAGGGUGCUGCAGGACCGCUUCCAAGCCCUGAACCCCAGCUGGAGUGCCGAGGCGCAGGGCGUGGCUCCCGACGGUGACGUGUUCCUCACGGAGGAGCAGGUCCGGAGCUUUCGGGUCCCGUGCUGUGAUCGAUGCGGCGGCCCUCUGAAACCCGACGUCGUUUUCUUUGGGGACACGGUGAACCCGGACAAGGUUGACUUUGUGCACCAGCGUGUGAAAGAAGCUGACUCGCUGCUGGUGGUGGGAUCGUCCCUGCAGGUAUACUCCGGUUACAGGUUCAUCCUCACCGCCCGGGAGAAGAAGCUCCCAAUCGCCAUUCUGAACAUCGGACCCACGAGGUCUGACGAUUUGGCUUGCCUGAAGCUGGAUUCGCGCUGUGGAGAGCUGCUGCCCUUAAUAGACCCACAGUGACAGCACCCUGAUGUCCAAAGGCUGGAAAGGACUUUCCUUUGGGUCCCGCUGCUAAAGACCCCUAAGGAUUCCCCGCCUCUCCCCUUCAACUGGUGGAAGCUUACUGUCUGCAUCCUAGAGAGGCCCAAAGCCACGCCUAGGGGCCAGGCCGCCUGUGCAUCGUGCUAUUUACAGAGAUGAGGGCUGCCCCCUAAAGAACUUUCUCAAAGAAGUAGCUGCUCUUGAUGGAGUAGCUGUGCCGCCUUCGGGUUACCAGCGAGAAGGAUCAGCCAGAAGUUCGUAAACCAGAACAGUCUGUGAGGGGCCACGAUCGCACUCAUUCAGAAGGGCAUUUAUAAUUCAUUCAUAAUUCCAAGUGGUCAUGUGUGGCUGAAGCACUUUGAUAUUUCUGACGACAUGAACAAUAACCAACACGGAUUUUUUUUAUCAACCCAAUAAUAAAUUAUUUUUGUUAACAUA